AUAUUUAAAAGGAAGUAAGUCAGCUUACUGUGUGGUUGCAAAACAGGCAAACAGUAGGAGAAUUACAAGCUAAAAUAAAUUGUCCAUGCAAGUGUCCUCCGGUGCUUUAUGCUGAUCAGAAAGGUGAUGAUUCAGACUUCAUUUCAACCAUACCUUGUGGGCACCUCUUGCUCCAGACUGCUGGUAACAAAGUUAAGAAAUAUUACAAAUCAGCACUGAAUUUAUUAUUAUUAUGUGAUGUUCCCAGAAAACCAAGUAUCCUUUUAAACAAAGUGCACUGUUUAAGCUCCGUUUUAGCAUUUAUUUGUUUACACUAGUGUUCAAUUAAUUAAUACUUUUAUUCAGAGAGGAUGCAUUAAAUUGAUGAAAAGUUAAACAGUAAAGACAUUGUUACAAAAGAUGUUUAAUUUAAAUAAACAUAGUUUUUAACCAUCUUUUCAUCAGAGAAGCAGAACAACUGUUUUCAGAGUUGAUAAUAAAAAGAAAUGUUUCUUCAGCACCAAACUGGAAUAUUAGAAUGACUUUUGUAUAAUUUAUUUUUGUAUAAUGUGACACUGUUUUGCCACCACAUCAGAAAAUUUAAUUUUAAAAUAUAUUAAAAUUUAAAACAUUUAUUUUAGUAUUUAUUGUAGUAAUAUUUCACAAUAUUCAUGUAUUUAUGAUCAAAUAUAUGCAUCCAAAUAUUUGAAAGACAGUGUAUGUUUAAUACAGUUUUUUUUUUUUUUGAUUAUAAUAUAAUAGAAUGUAUGCUAUUACAGCAGAAGUCUUCAAGAAACAUUCAAGUAAGUUAAGUACAGGUAAAUUAUCUUGCUAGCCAAACAAAGCACAAAGUGUAACUCUAAGCAAGUACUCUAACUUUUUGUUUUUACUGUGGCUAUUGAUAUAUAUUUAAUGGUAGAUUUAUUUGGUUCUUUGUUUGUUUGCAGCAUCCAUAUUAAAUUAAUAAUUCAGCUGGAUAACAGGAAAGAAAAAGAUGCAAAGCUAACAUUAAAAAGGCUGCUAAGAGUGCAGUGUGGCACAGUCUGGCUGUUGGCUGAAGGGGCUGACAUUGAGAUGGUAGAUAACGCUCAAUGACGGAGAGGCCGUUUGCUGCUGAUCCUGGGGUGAUGAAUCACACGACCGGAAAGAGAUGAGCUCGGAGCGCCGAGGAGAGAAAUGUGAAACAAGAAGAUAGUCAGCGAGAGGCCAAAAUUAAGGCCCUGUCGAGACGGCGACGCAGGGCUGGCAGAGGGGGACAUGGCCGGCCUGAGAGGACCCCGUGUAGAGCCUGCAGGAGGGAGCGAAGUGUGAUAAGGGAAGGUAGGACUUAAUCUUCUAAAGUGCUGAUGGUGCUGGAUGGAGAAGACUACGGCUGGAACUGCCGCUUUCAAAAAAGAACGCCAUUAUUCACCAUCAGAGUGCAGGGCCUGCAAAGAUUGUGCGUCUGUGUGUGCGUCUAAGAGAUAGUGUGUGCGCA
Long non-coding RNA from Cyprinus carpio (common carp), 1456 nucleotides. The record is from Ensembl. NCBI's taxonomy places the organism in Eukaryota, Metazoa, Chordata, Actinopteri, Cypriniformes, Cyprinidae.